Molecule: ribosomal RNA, 253 nt
Filed under: uncultured bacterium
Lineage: Bacteria
Description: partial 16S ribosomal RNA
Rfam family: Bacterial small subunit ribosomal RNA
Source: RNAcentral
UACGUAGGGUGCGAGCGUUAAUCGGAAUUACUGGGCGUAAAGUGUGCGCAGGUGGCCGCGCAAGUCGAGUGUGAAAUCCCCGAGCUUAACUUGGGAAUUGCGCUCGAAACUACGUGGCUCGAGUGUGGCAGAGGAAGGUGGAAUUCCACGUGUAGCGGUGAAAUGCGUAGAGAUGUGGAGGAACACCGAUGGCGAAGGCAGCCUUCUGGGCCAACACUGACGCUGAUGCGCGAAAGCUAGGGUAGCAAACGGG